Long non-coding RNA from Priapulus caudatus, 753 nucleotides. RefSeq lists it as uncharacterized. The transcript is spliced from 5 exons. The record is from RefSeq and is a predicted model, not a curated record. Lineage: Eukaryota; Metazoa; Priapulida; Priapulimorpha; Priapulimorphida; Priapulidae.
UCCUUGCAUCUCUCGCUUCUCUCGCUGCUUCCAUCAUCAUGCAUCAUCAUCAUCAUCACCAUCAGCGUCGUCCUCACACUAAGCGACUUUAGCAGUUACCAGCGUCUAUAGCUAAGAUGGCGGACCAUAGCAACUCUCCAAACCUCAAGCUGUAUAUGAAUCCGCUUUCGAUCUACUCACAGCACGUCAUGUUCGCGCUUGAAGAGAAGAAGUUACCAUUUGAGAAAGUUUGUCGUGGACUUGUUUAAGUAUGCCCAGUACGAGCCAUGGUUCGUAAAGCUCAACCCGAAGUGUGAAGUACCCAUAUUACAGCAUGGAGAUGCAACCAUCACUGACUCUGCGCGCAUCAUUGACUACUUGGAGAAACAUUUCUCAGGAGGAGACAGGCCAAGGGUUGUUUCCCGUUGAGGGAACAGAUGCCGCUACACUGACCAAGCAUUUCCGCAAGGUUCUGCUAGACAUUAACCUGGGAGAAAAUCGCUUUUGGUAUUUACUAUCAUCCAUACUUGGGAAAGAACCUGCUGGGUACCGGAUAACAUCAGAGAAAUGGCCAAGGGCGUUUAUGCGGGAAAGGUGGCCCACCUUCAAUCGUUGAUAAAGAAAUAUCCCAACCUUAGAGGAUGUUAUGAGCAGAAGGCCUCAAAGAGCGCCGUUCGUGGGCAAGGAAGUAUGCAAAUGAACCUGAAAUUGUGAAGGCAUUGGAUAAUCUUGAACCGCUAAUGGACGAAGUAGAGAAGCAACUGGCAACGCAUA